RNAcentral lists this ribosomal RNA (262 nucleotides) under uncultured bacterium. RNAcentral describes it as "partial 16S ribosomal RNA". It matches the Rfam family "Bacterial small subunit ribosomal RNA", at positions 92 to 354 of the family's 1533-position model. The record is from RNAcentral.
UUAGUGGCGGACGGGUGAGUAACGCGUGGAUAACCUGCCGUGUACAGGGGGAUAACACUUAGAAAUAGGUGCUAAUACCGCAUAAGCGCACGGUUCCGCAUGGAACAGUGUGAAAAACUCCGGUGGUAUACGAUGGAUCCGCGUCUGAUUAGCCAGUUGGUGGGGUAACGGCCCACCAAAGCGACGAUCAGUAGCCGGCCUGAGAGGGUGAACGGCCACAUUGGGACUGAGACACGGCCCAAACUCCUACGGAAGGCAGCAG